GCGUCCAUAGCUCAGCCGGAUAGAGCAACAGCCUUCUAAGCUGUGGGUCGGGGGUUCGAGUCCCUCUGGACGUA
Molecule: transfer RNA, 74 nt
Filed under: Spirochaeta africana DSM 8902
Lineage: Bacteria; Pseudomonadati; Spirochaetota; Spirochaetia; Spirochaetales; Spirochaetaceae
Description: tRNA-Arg (TCT) (tRNA-Arg-TCT-1-1)
Rfam family: tRNA
About the family: Transfer RNA (tRNA) molecules are approximately 80 nucleotides in length. Their secondary structure includes four short double-helical elements and three loops (D, anti-codon, and T loops).
Source: Rfam by way of RNAcentral